RNAcentral lists this ribosomal RNA (215 nucleotides) under Exanthemachrysis gayraliae. RNAcentral's name for it is "partial Bacterial small subunit ribosomal RNA". It matches the Rfam family "Bacterial small subunit ribosomal RNA", at positions 576 to 790 of the family's 1533-position model. Lineage: Eukaryota; Haptophyta; Pavlovophyceae; Pavlovales; Pavlovaceae. The record is from RNAcentral.
CGGAAUUUUAAGUCAGUAGUGAAAGCCCAUCGCUUAACGAUGGAACUGCUAUUGAAACUGAAAUUCUUGAAUAUAGUUGAAGUAGGCGGAAUACGGCAUGUAGCGGUGAAAUGCAUAGAUAUGCCGUGGAACACCAAUCGCGAAGGCAGCUUACUAAGCUAUUAUUGACGCUAAUGUACGAAAGCGUGGGUAGCGAACAGGAUUAGAUACCCUGG